Molecule: ribosomal RNA, 253 nt
Filed under: uncultured bacterium
Lineage: Bacteria
Description: partial 16S ribosomal RNA
Rfam family: Bacterial small subunit ribosomal RNA
Source: RNAcentral
UACGUAGGGGGCUAGCGUUGUCCGGAAUCAUUGGGCGUAAAGCGCGUGUAGGCGGUCCGAUAAGUCCGCUGUGAAAGCCCGAGGCUCAACCUCGGAACUGCCUUCGAUACUGCGGGUCUCGAGUCCGGGAGAGGUGAGUGGAAUUCCUAGUGUAGAGGUGAAAUUCGUAGAUAUUAGGAAGAACACCGGUGGCGAAAGCGGCUCACUGGAUCUUUUCUGACGCUGAGGCACGAAAGCUAGGGUAGCGAACGGG